This 749-nucleotide ribosomal RNA is filed under the name uncultured bacterium. RNAcentral describes it as "bacterial SSU rRNA". It matches the Rfam family "Bacterial small subunit ribosomal RNA", at positions 751 to 1504 of the family's 1533-position model. The record is from RNAcentral.
GUGCGAAAGCGUGGGAGCAAACGGGAUAGAUACCCCGGUAGUGCACGCGUAAACGAUGUCUACUAGCCGUUGGAGGACUUGAUCCUUUAGUGGCGCAGCUAACGCGAUAAGUAGACCGCCUGGGGAGUACGGUCGCAAGAUUAAAACUCAAAUGAAUUGACGGGGGCCCGCACAAGCGGUGGAGCAUGUGGUUUAAUUCGAAGCAACGCGAAGAACCUUACCUACUCUUGACAUCCAGUGAACUUUUGAGAGAUCAAUUGGUGCCUUCGGGAACACUGAGACAGGUGCUGCAUGGCUGUCGUCAGCUCGUGUUGUGAAAUGUUGGGUUAAGUCCCGUAACGAGCGCAACCCUUGUCCUUAGUUACCAUCAUUAAGUUGGGGACUCUAAGGAGACUGCCGGUGGCAAACCGGAGGAAGGCGGGGACGACGUCAAGUCAUCAUGGCCCUUACGAGUAGGGCUACACACGUGCUACAAUGGCAUGUACAAAGGGUUGCCAAGCCGCGAGGUGGAGCUAAUCCCAUAAAGCAUGUCGUAGUCCGGAUUGGAGUCUGCAACUCGACUCCAUGAAGUCGGAAUCGCUAGUAAUCGUGAAUCAGAAUGUCACGGUGAAUACGUUCCCGGGCCUUGUACACACCGCCCGUCACACCAUGGGAGUGGGUUGCUCCAGAAGUAGAUAGCUUAACCUUCGGGAGGGCGUUUACCACGGAGUGAUUCAUGACUGGGGUGAAGUCGUAACAAGGUAGCCGUA